RNAcentral lists this ribosomal RNA (177 nucleotides) under uncultured bacterium. RNAcentral describes it as "partial 16S ribosomal RNA". It matches the Rfam family "Bacterial small subunit ribosomal RNA", at positions 1323 to 1500 of the family's 1533-position model. The record is from RNAcentral.
AAGCUGGAAUCGCUAGUAAUCGCGAAUCAGAAUGUCGCGGUGAAUACGUUCCCGGGUCUUGUACACACCGCCCGUCACACCAUGGGAGUCAGCAACGCCCGAAGUCAGUGACCCAACCGAAAGGAGGGAGCUGCCGAAGGCGGGGCAGGUAACUGGGUGAAGUCGUAACAAGGUAUC